CCUUGACAUACUAAGAACUUUCCAGAGAUGGAUUGGUGCCUUCGGGAACUUAGAUACAGGUGCUGCAUGGCUGUCGUCAGCUCGUGUCGUGAGAUGUUGGGUUAAGUCCCGNAACGAGCGCAACCCUUUUCCUAUUUGCCAGCGGGUCAUGCCGGGAACUUUAAGGAUACUGCCAGUGACAAACUGGAGGAAGGCGGGGACGACGUCAAGUCAUCAUGGCCCUUACGGCCAGGGCUACACACGUGCUACAAUGGUCGGUACAAAGGGUUGCUACCUCACGAGAGGAUGCUAAUCUCAAAAAGCCGAUCGUAGUCCGGAUCGCAGUCUGCAACUCGACUGCGUGAAGUCGGAAUCGCUAGUAAUCGCGGAUCAGAAUGCCGCGGUGAAUACGUUCCCGGGCCUUGUACACACCGCCCGUCACACCAUGGGAGUUUGUUGCACCAGAAGUAGGUAGUCUAACCGCAAGGAGGACGCUUACCACGGUGUGGCCGAUGACUGGGGUGAAGUCGUAACAAGGUAAGCGUAGAUGA
This 530-nucleotide ribosomal RNA is filed under the name uncultured bacterium. RNAcentral's name for it is "bacterial SSU rRNA". It matches the Rfam family "Bacterial small subunit ribosomal RNA", at positions 979 to 1509 of the family's 1533-position model. The record is from RNAcentral.